Molecule: ribosomal RNA, 465 nt
Filed under: uncultured Klebsiella sp.
Lineage: Bacteria; Pseudomonadati; Pseudomonadota; Gammaproteobacteria; Enterobacterales; Enterobacteriaceae
Description: bacterial SSU rRNA
Rfam family: Bacterial small subunit ribosomal RNA
Source: RNAcentral
CCUACGGGCGGUUGCAGUGGGGAAUAUUGCACAAUGGGCGCAAGCCUGAUGCAGCCAUGCCGCGUGUGUGAAGAAGGCCUUCGGGUUGUAAAGCACUUUCAGCGGGGAGGAAGGCGGUGAGGUUAAUAACCUCAUCGAUUGACGUUACCCGCAGAAGAAGCACCGGCUAACUCCGUGCCAGCAGCCGCGGUAAUACGGAGGGUGCAAGCGUUAAUCGGAAUUACUGGGCGUAAAGCGCACGCAGGCGGUCUGUCAAGUCGGAUGUGCAAUCCCCGGGCUCAACCUGGGAACUGCAUUCGAAACUGGCAGGCUAGAGUCUUGUAGAGGGGGGUAGAAUUCCAGAUGUAGCGGUGAAAUGCGUAGAGAUCUGGAGGAAUACCGGUGGCGAAGGCGGCCCCCUGGACAAAGACUGACGCUCAGGUGCGAAAGCGUGGGGAGCAAACAGGAUUAGAUACCCCAGUAGUC